UGUGUGUGUAAGCAUUUGUGUCUGCUUGGGUCUCACAGUAUCUCUGUAUGUUCCCAUAGUCUCCUCUUUGCAUAUAAGAUGCAUGUGAGUCUCCCUGUAUGUCUCGUGUGUGUGUGUGUGUGUGUGUGUGUGUGUGUCUCUCAGGCUGUGUGCAGCUGGGUGUGUCUGACCUUAUCCUAUCUGGAGGAGGUGUCUGUUUGAAUCAGAGUUGGUGGAGCACGUGAUAAUCACCACCCAGGUUAGGCUUUAGGCAAGUAGCCUUCCUUCUGUGCUUGGCCCACAUACUGACGCCAGGCCUCCUCUGCAAGGCCACCUGCUCAGGAAGUUCUGCUUGGUGCAAACAUGGGCCGGUUUUCAGUUCCCACCCACUGAGGUGCCAAGGGAAGCUGUGUAUUCCCUCACCCAAAAUCAAGGGAGAAGUGUGUUUCUAGAAAGGAGACCCUGGACUCCCAAGGCCUGGCCAGGCAUAUGACCCAUGGGAAUGUGAGUGCCAGCAGAGGGAAAGAGGAUAGGAAGGAGGCAUCCUCUCUGAUCAUGUCACCCAGACUCCAGGCUUAGGGCUGGACCCCACUGAUGUCUGGUAAAUGUGUGACCCUUUAUACCCUAUUCUCUUGCAAAGGUCACAACUCCACUGACAUCUCUCAUCUCACCUGUAACUUUAAUUUUUUCAAACUUUAUUUUUAAUGAAGGUUAUUAAAUGCUUUAACCUCCCUUGUAGCCCACCACCCACCAGAGGUAGUGAGGAAGAAAGGAUACGGGGGUGGGUGGGAAGUGGACCUGUUUAGAAAGGUUCUUUGGAGCAACUCCCCUCUGUGUUGUCUGGAAAUUAGCAGUUCGAUUCACAGGUCAGCAGCGGCAGCUUGAUCUACUCACCACACUUCAUGGAAUCACUAGCAGUCCAUUUCGGCAGAAUCAGCAUAGCAAACACAAAUCAGCAGUGGUGGCCCUACACAGCAGAGACAGCCAGGCCUCAGCCUUGGUUCAAGUCAGCAGGAGGGACCUGGAGGAACACCAGGAGAAGUUCUUGCCUGUGCCUCUCAGGGAAGUGAAGAUCAGUGAAGACUUGAGACCCACAAGCACUACACAGCUAGCUCUCCAGGCUGUUCAGCUUUGUUUGCACACUUCCCACCGUGAUGAACUUAUUACCCAUCCACAUAACAGGGCUAAGCGCAGGAAAGACCAGGCACUGACCACAGCAAGGUCAGGGUUGGUAGAGUUCACGAGCAGGAGCAGUGGACCCC
This 1241-nucleotide long non-coding RNA is filed under the name Mus spicilegus (steppe mouse). RNAcentral's name for it is "lncRNA (ENSMSIG00000014390.1)". Lineage: Eukaryota; Metazoa; Chordata; Mammalia; Rodentia; Muridae. The record is from RNAcentral.